GGUUUCUUUAUAUAUUUAGGAGAUCUGGCCUGCCCACUGAAAAAUUUUUAAAGGGCCGCGGUAUUUUGACCGUGCGAAGGUAGCAUAAUCAUUAGUCUUUUAAUUGAAGGCUUGUAUGAAUGGUUAGAUGAGGUAAAUUCUGUUUUAUAUUUAUUAAAUUGAAUUUGGAUUUUAAGUAAAAAUACUUAAAUGUUAUUAAGGGACGAGAAGACCCUAUAGAGUUUAAUAAAUGUAUAAAUUAUUUGAGUUAAAAAUUAAUUUAGGUUAUUGUAAAGUUUAUUUAAUUGGGGUGAUUUAAAGAUAAGUGAAACUCUCUUUUUAAAUUUUAAUAUUAUAAUUAGUAAUAUGAUCCAUUAAUAAUGAUUAAAAGAUUAAAUUACCUUAGGGAUA
RNAcentral lists this ribosomal RNA (390 nucleotides) under Theopropus elegans. RNAcentral describes it as "partial 16S ribosomal RNA". Lineage: Eukaryota; Metazoa; Arthropoda; Insecta; Mantodea; Hymenopodidae. The record is from RNAcentral.